Molecule: long non-coding RNA, 639 nt
Organism: Dromaius novaehollandiae (emu)
Lineage: Eukaryota; Metazoa; Chordata; Aves; Casuariiformes; Dromaiidae
Exons: 3
Source: RefSeq, a predicted model, not a curated record
GCUGCGAUGUGUGGCCGCACUGCGGAGAGGCUCGGUGCUCAGAAGUGUGGGUCGUGAGAUUUGUACAAGCAGUGCGGCCCUCAGUGCCAGAGGCUGCAGAGCGACCGGGCUGGGUUCGCUGUUGGCUUUUCUGUCCGGCAGCAUCCCCACGCUGCUGGAACUGCGGACACAUAACGAUUAGCAGAUAUGCUCAACACACUGUGUACAAGUGAAGAAAGUACCACUGGUCUUCAAUAUCAGUGUCUCUCCAGCAGAUCGGUUUGCAGUCAUUAAAAACCACAUUUUUUUUUACAGGCCAGCUGUAGAUGACUCACGGAAAUGGCUACGGUAACUCCUGCCUGGUGGUCAAGUCAACAUGAUCAGAGUGAAUAAGUCAAGGUGAUCUUGACUUGUGGAGCCACAGCUGUUCAGUGAACUGCCUGAGAAACCCCUUCCUUGAGCUGUACAGCCGACGUCUCACCUGUUGUGUCUUCUGGGCAUGUUGUGUGGGAACAUGCACUCUCUUUUGUGUCACCACUGUGAAAGGGUUUUUAUAAACAGGGCAUGUGCUAUCAUCCGCUUCAGUAUACGCAGGAUUCCCGCUGGAUCAGGUUCCUGCUGCCAUUACCACUGCCUGCUCGGUCAGUUGGCCCAUCACCA